ACGCUCGACACCUACUGGAGGCAGCAGUGGGGAAUAUUGCACAAUGGGGGAAACCCUGAUGCAGCGACGCCGCGUGAAGGAAGAAGUAUUUCGGUAUGUAAACUUCUAUCAGCAGGGAAGAAGAUGACGGUACCUGACUAAGAAGCCCCGGCUAACUACGUGCCAGUAGCCGCGGUAAUCUGAGCGGGCUGGCAAGGC
This 198-nucleotide ribosomal RNA is filed under the name uncultured bacterium. Its description in RNAcentral is "partial 16S ribosomal RNA". It matches the Rfam family "Bacterial small subunit ribosomal RNA", at positions 328 to 539 of the family's 1533-position model. The record is from RNAcentral.